This 253-nucleotide ribosomal RNA is filed under the name uncultured bacterium. Its description in RNAcentral is "partial 16S ribosomal RNA". It matches the Rfam family "Bacterial small subunit ribosomal RNA", at positions 524 to 776 of the family's 1533-position model. The record is from RNAcentral.
UACGAGGGGGGCGAGCGUUGUUCGGAAUUAUUGGGCGUAAAGGGUGCGUAGGCGGUUUGGUAAGUCUUGUGUGAAAGCUACAGGCUCAACUUGUAGUCUGCACGAGAAACUGCCGGGCUUGAGUGUGGGAGAGGUGAGUGGAAUUCCUGGUGUAGCGGUGAAAUGCGUAGAUAUCAGGAGGAACACCUGUGGCGAAAGCGGCUCACUGGACCAUAACUGACGCUGAUGCACGAAAGCUAGGGGAGCAAACAGG